UUGUCUCUUCUUUGAGCUUUAAAGCUCAACGUGGGUUAGCUUCUGCUGUCUUAGGCCCGAGUCCUUCAAUAGGAUGCAUGUUGGCAGAUCUCUGCUCCAGUACAGAGCUUCAUUGGAAAAAAAUGGGGCUCUGAGCAGGCUCUCAGGAUUUUUCUGCUUGCAUCUCAUUGAAGGACUUGGAAAACACCUUCUGCGCUAUCCCUCAGUUGAAGGAGUUGAGAUGCUUUUGCUAAUAGUCUCCAGAUUUAAACAGUUAGGGGCAGGAAACUGAGCAUACCUGAUGUAAAUAGGCCUGAGCUUUGGAAUUCACUUUGCUGAUUUGUCCAAAAGAGCCCAGAUUUGUUGAUAUUAUGGGUACUUUGGGAAGCACAUCUGGCAUAUGAAAGGCAUUUUGUGAGCCAGUGGAGAAACUGAGGGUCAGAGAAGUGGCCGAAGCAGUGUAUGACGACGGUUAGCAAUCCUACUGCACCAUCUGCUGACAGCAGUACCCAGGACACAACAGUGGCAGUGGCGCUGAGCUGAGCUGAGCAGGCUGCAUGCUUGCUGUGGUAUGGCGUCUGCGCAGAAAAAAGGUCUAUGGGAGGCUUGAAGACCAUAUUCCCUUGCACCGGUGCCAUCAGAUCAGCCCCUCUCAAAGAAGCAUGUAGCUGAGCUGCAUAACUAGAAAUACCAUGUGAUUUUUGUAGUGUCAUCUCCCCUCUCCCUUUAAUAUCUGAAGGAAAUAUGGGAUUCAUGUUAAAAAAUAUAGUUGACUUUGCAGUUAUGAAGAACCUUAAAGUCAUUGUAAAAAUAUUGCAUUGGGGGUCUGCAGUUUUUAAAAGGGAUGUAGAAUCAGCUUUGAUCUUUAGAAAUGACUUGUAUUAAAAACAAAAACAUACAUUUUUAAAAAUUC
Molecule: long non-coding RNA, 892 nt
Organism: Mauremys reevesii (Reeves's turtle)
Lineage: Eukaryota; Metazoa; Chordata; Testudines; Geoemydidae
Exons: 3
Source: RefSeq, a predicted model, not a curated record